This is a long non-coding RNA of Catharus ustulatus (Swainson's thrush), 227 nucleotides long. RefSeq lists it as uncharacterized. The transcript is spliced from 3 exons. NCBI's taxonomy places the organism in Eukaryota, Metazoa, Chordata, Aves, Passeriformes, Turdidae. The record is from RefSeq and is a predicted model, not a curated record.
UACAAAUUGGUGAAUAAUCAGAGAUUUUUCAGUGUUACCUUUAGAGAAGCAAGGAACUACCUUCAAAAAUCUCCUGCUAUAGGAAAUGGAAGGCUGUUUUUUCCUGAUGGUGCUAGGACAGAAAGUCAUUCAAUGAGGCCUGCAUCACCUACAUAUCUGUCAUCUUGGAUACUCAAGUUUAAGAGUGCCUUAACUGCAGCAACUUCAAAAGAGAUAAUUUCUACUGG